GCUGGAAUAGUUCAGUUGGGUACUGUGUAUGGCUUUUAACCACAAGUUCGGAGGUUUAAGCCCUCCUUCUAGGG
Molecule: non-coding RNA, 74 nt
Organism: Glycine max (soybean)
Lineage: Eukaryota; Viridiplantae; Streptophyta; Magnoliopsida; Fabales; Fabaceae
Source: Rfam